GCAUAAUCAUGAGAAUUGACAAUAAUUUUUAGUUUCAGAAUUCAAAAGUAGAGGGCGCCAUUAUUAUCAAUGAACGAAAAAAUCAACAACGAUGAAAAGAACGAUGAUGGGUGAGGGUGAUUCAAAUUGUGAUGGAGAGGAAUGAAUCAUGAAUUUCAUGAAUUUUCAGGAAUAUGGCGAAUAUGCUGAUGGCGAAGAAUUUAUUAGUUAGUUAGUGCUGUAAUUUGUGAUUAUUACUAGAAAUUUAGUCUAAAAGAGCUUGCGAAAGUGCAACUAUAGUAAUCUGCCUGGUCACUCGAGUCCGGUAAAUGGUUUCAAGAUUUACAUUAUUGUUCGAGAAGUGAUUGCGAUGAAGAUUAUUGGAAUCCAUUGAUGAAUUGUCAAACUGUUGAUCCAGUCAAAACUUCCCACUUUCGUUCGUGCUCUUCCGGUGUCUUCGUUGGAAUAAAUACUCAUUCUGUAAAAACACAUCAAAAAUAAUACGAUUAGUGAAUCAAAUCUUCGAAAGAACUCAACGAAUAUGAUCUCAUCCUACAGUAGAGAUUAAUACUGCAGCGAACAAAGAUCUCGAAGACGUUAUAUUAUUUCAUGCCCAGAUUCCAAACACCGGUGAAUCUAGCUUCGUAAUCCUGUACUAAAUAAUACUGGAUCAUCGAACGAGAUAAAAACAUCGCGUUAUCUUUUAUACGCUAUUUAGACGAAUAAAGGAUCGCAUCAUCCGAAAUGGACCACGUAAUAUGGUCAGCGAUGAAUCUACAAUUAGUAAUUCAAAUCCGGUGUCGUAUUGUUCGAGCUUCUAAUUGUAUUACGUUGACCACCGAGAGAAAAACAACUGGUAAAUUUGUAUUCUAGUUUGAAGCACCCGUCCGAGAAAAAAAACACAAAACUAGACCGGUAUACUCGCGAGUCUUUUGUUACUCGUAAAUAAAUCAAACUGGUUUAGCGUUUGCACCAACGUGUCGUGUACGUACAAAUAGCUAUGUUACGAAAUUCGAGCACAGAGAUAUGGACCAUGGAUGUUGGAUUUUUAUUAUUCAAAAAUCUACCAUAUGUUUACAGCAGAGUGCGGAAAACAACCGAAUAGAUAUUAGAAGCAAGGAACAGGGACAGGACAAUGCACCGGAGUUGUUAUAGUAAUUUCCAACAGAUUCGUUAGAAUUGGACACGAUGGAGAUGGCGGUAAUUAGAAUAACAAGUUACUAUACGCCUUUGCAACAAUUUAUUGGAGCGGAUCUGAAAUAAAAAUUUACUCGAUUCGAAUCUUAUACUCGAGUAGAAAUAUGGGAUUUUUUUUUGUCGACGGUGGAAUUCGUAAAAAUGGAAGAGAAAUUCGACCGAAGAUUAUUUAGCAACUCGAUGAUUAUUGAUGCUGUGCGAAUGAAAUUGAAGAUCCUGUGUCCCAUUGAAUGCAAGAUGUAUCCAGAUUCGUGAAAAAAGGUAAUUUGCGAGCUUAAAUUGCCGGAAGUAAUCUUACAAAUCUCGAUGAAUAUGAAGCCAGUUCCAUUGAAAAUGGCGAAAAAUACUCCCCGAAUUGAGAUGUUCAAAUGUGUUUUCAACGUCAAGUAUUCCAGAUUUUGUACUAAUUUCGACGAUUGCAACGACAUCUGUUGUUUAAUAUAUCUUCGUGUGAACGAGAAAACAUCAUCGCCGGAUAACAAAUGGAGAAUAA
Molecule: long non-coding RNA, 1669 nt
Organism: Planococcus citri (citrus mealybug)
Lineage: Eukaryota; Metazoa; Arthropoda; Insecta; Hemiptera; Pseudococcidae
Exons: 9
Source: RefSeq, a predicted model, not a curated record